GCUUACGGCAUACCACUCUGAGCACGCCGAUCUCGUCCGAUCUCGGAAGCCAAGCAGGUCGGCCUGGUUAGUACUUGGACGGCCGAAACCGCCUGGGAAUACCCAGGUGCUGUAAGCU
Molecule: ribosomal RNA, 118 nt
Filed under: Seriola dumerili (greater amberjack)
Lineage: Eukaryota; Metazoa; Chordata; Actinopteri; Carangiformes; Carangidae
Source: RNAcentral